UGAGACUGGGGAAGUCAGUGUGUCACCGUGCUUGGAGCUUUGCUGCCCAGUCUCUGGACUCGUUCACCAUCAGUCUCUUCCCACAAGAGAAUGUACAAAAUGAGGCCGAGGUUUCUCUGCAACAGUUUGCCAGCUGGUUUGAUGUUGGGUUUCUUUAUUUUCCUGCUUGGACCAGUUUCCACACAGAAAAACAGAAAUCGAAUGAAUUUCUUGGAUAAUGGAGAUGACAUUGUGUUAAACGGACCGGACAAUGCUGAGAAAGACACUGUUGUUGUCUGGGAAUGGAAACCACACUCAGGGAAGGAAAUCAGAAUAUUGACUUUUAGAAGAACGGGGGGCUAUUGGAUCAAGGAGAAUGCCGCUGGCAACUUGUACCCGGGGAUGAAUGUGGAUACCUAUACCCUUGAUCUAAGAAUUGAUAAACCCACAUUUAAAAUGGCGGGAAUUUUCACUUUGAACCAAACAAAACCGAGAAAGCAAAUCCUGAAACAAUAUGAACUAUUUGUGAUGAAAGGUGAGUGAGUGCGAUAAGGAUCAAUAAUGUUGAUCUACGUAGGCACCAAAUCC
This is a long non-coding RNA of Amblyraja radiata (thorny skate), 567 nucleotides long. RefSeq lists it as uncharacterized. The transcript is spliced from 3 exons. The record is from RefSeq and is a predicted model, not a curated record. NCBI's taxonomy places the organism in Eukaryota, Metazoa, Chordata, Chondrichthyes, Rajiformes, Rajidae.